CCUACGGGGGGCAGCAGUGGGGAAUAUUGCACAAUGGGGGAAACCCUGAUGCAGCGACGCCGCGUGAGUGAAGAAGUAAUUCGUUAUGUAAAGCCCUAUCAGCAGGGAAGAAAAUGACGGUACCUGAGUAAGAAGCCCCGGCUAACUACGUGCCAGCAGCCGCGGUAAUACGUAGGGGGCAAGCGUUAUCCGGAUUUACUGGGUGUAAAGGGAGCGUCGACGGCAUUGGAAGUCUGGAGUGAAAGGCGGGGGCUCAACCCCCGGACUGGUAUGGAAACUGUACGGCUGGAGUGCAGGAGAGGUAAGUUGAAAUCCUAGGGUAGCGGUGAAAUGCGUAGAUAAUAGGAGGAACACCAGUGGCGAAGGCGGCUUACUGGACUGUAACUGACGUUGAGGGUCGAAAGCGUGGGGAGCAAACAGGAUUAGAUACCCGUGUAGUC
RNAcentral lists this ribosomal RNA (440 nucleotides) under uncultured bacterium. Its description in RNAcentral is "partial 16S ribosomal RNA". It matches the Rfam family "Bacterial small subunit ribosomal RNA", at positions 338 to 795 of the family's 1533-position model. The record is from RNAcentral.